GGGCGGCUAACUCAGCGGGAGAGUGCUACCUUCACACGGUAGAAGUCACAGGUUCAAACCCUGUGCCGCCCACCA
This 75-nucleotide transfer RNA is filed under the name Desulfatirhabdium butyrativorans. RNAcentral describes it as "tRNA-Val". It matches the Rfam family "tRNA". Rfam says of the family: Transfer RNA (tRNA) molecules are approximately 80 nucleotides in length. Their secondary structure includes four short double-helical elements and three loops (D, anti-codon, and T loops). The record is from RNAcentral. RNAcentral also lists the same sequence under 1 other name. Lineage: Bacteria; Pseudomonadati; Thermodesulfobacteriota; Desulfobacteria; Desulfobacterales; Desulfatirhabdiaceae.